ACGGCAAAUCAGUCUAUCGCUUUUCAUUAGAAAAGAGGAAAGUCCGGGCAGCACAGAGCAUCGUACUUCUUAACGGGAAGGGUUGUCACAAGGAAUUGCGACAAUACAGCAAGUGCCACAGAAAACAAACUACCUCGGCUUGCUGAGGAAAAGGUGAAAAGGUGAGGUAAGAGCUCACCGCUUGGGCAGUGAUGCACAGGGCAGGGUAAACCUUACGAGCUGAAAGACCAAAUAUACCGGGAUCUGCGCAAGCAGAACGGGCUGCUCGCUCGUCUCGGAGGGUAGGUCGAUGGACGCUGCGCGCGAGUGCAGCGCUAGAUAAAUGAUGGACACCAAAGCUGCGUGCAGCAACUGGUACAGAACCCGGCUUAUGAUUUGCCAUUUUU
Molecule: RNase P RNA, 386 nt
Filed under: Crocinitomicaceae bacterium
Lineage: Bacteria; Pseudomonadati; Bacteroidota; Flavobacteriia; Flavobacteriales; Crocinitomicaceae
Description: RNase P RNA component class A
Rfam family: Bacterial RNase P class A
About the family: Ribonuclease P (RNase P) is a ubiquitous endoribonuclease, found in archaea, bacteria and eukarya as well as chloroplasts and mitochondria. Its best characterised activity is the generation of mature 5'-ends of tRNAs by cleaving the 5'-leader elements of precursor-tRNAs. Cellular RNase Ps are ribonucleoproteins.
Source: RNAcentral